GACAUGCUCAUGCAAAAAUAUUUGUUCUUGUAAUUCUACCCUUUGCAUCCUAGCCUCUUGCCUUGGUCUUCAUGGGUCAGCUUGAUUUUUUUGUGACACAGGCUUGGGGCUCACCUGUGGGCUGGGGCUUUUGCUGGCUGACGCCAAGGCAGCGUUGGAUGAGGCCAUAGAAGGGUGGAGAAAGCUGGGCAGCCACUGCAGCGCCAGCUCUGGAAAAUCGCUGUGUGAGCCCCAGCCAGCAAUUCCCACUCACCAGCCAGUCACGACUCUUCCUUCUGCUUCUUCUUGGAUACUGCAGUGAUGGCAAGUUGGAAUGUGAAUGGGAACAACUGCAUGAGCCGGAGUAGCAGCCAGUGCAGGAAGGACCUGAUCUUGACUUGGAGUAGGGAAUAAGGAAUGUCCAGCUGAUGGGGGAAGGAACGUCAAGGGAAUGAUAACAACUAAGGAGGCAGUAAGUAAGACCAAGGAUGCAGACCUUCAGGAUAACAGAGACCGGAACGCAAAGAAAGCAAAGCCAUACCUCUGCUAACUCAGCACUAGGACCUUGCGAGCAUGCGCAAGCAAAAAUGUCACUCAGUAAACACAGUCAGGCAGACUGUGGGCGACCAUCAGA
Long non-coding RNA from Neopsephotus bourkii (Bourke's parrot), 613 nucleotides. RefSeq lists it as uncharacterized. The transcript has 3 exons. The record is from RefSeq and is a predicted model, not a curated record. NCBI's taxonomy places the organism in Eukaryota, Metazoa, Chordata, Aves, Psittaciformes, Psittacidae.